UCCGUAGGUGAACCUGCGGAAGGAUCAUUACCAAAACAGCUGUCCUGACCUGCAAAGGUCUUGACGCUUCAACCCUUUGUGAACCAAAAAAACCUUUUUCGCUUCGGUAGCAAAUCAGUUGUGGUGAGAGCUGCAGCUGUUCCGUAAGCCUACCGGCAGCACCAAACCAAAAACUUGUUGUCAAACAUUGUCUGAACUAUAUAUUUUCGAAUGAAAAUUAAAACUUUCAACAACGGAUCUCUUGGUUCUCGCAUCGAUGAAGAACGCAGCGAAACGCGAUAGUUAAUGUGAAUUGCAGAAUUCAGUGAAUCAUCGAGUCUUUGAACGCACAUUGCGCCCAUCGGUAUUCCUUUGGGCAUGUCUGUUUGAGCGUCAUUACAACCCUCAGCGCAAGCUGGUGUUGAGCUAGACCCUAGCCUUCGGUUGGGUGCUGGCUUAAAGUUGUAAGCUCUGCUGGCUGCUUUGCCCAACCAAAACGUAGUAAAAUUUUUACAUCUCGUUCGUGGUAAGGCUUUGCAGGUAACCGGCCUGAACAAAAUCUUUAUUUUCUAAGGUUUGACCUCAGGAUCAGGACAAGGGGGAUACCCGGCUGGAACUUAAGGCAUAUCAUAAGGCG
This 616-nucleotide ribosomal RNA is filed under the name uncultured fungus. Its description in RNAcentral is "eukaryotic LSU rRNA". The stretch from base 222 to 375 matches the Rfam family "5.8S ribosomal RNA". The record is from RNAcentral. Lineage: Eukaryota; Fungi.